UACGUAGGUGGCAAGCGUUGUCCGGAUUUACUGGGCGUAAAGAGCGCGCAGGCGGUCGUUCAAGUCGCGUGUGAAAGCCCCCGGCUCAACUGGGGAGGGUCACGCGAUACUGAUCGACUCGAAGGCAGGAGAGGGUAGUGGAAUUCUCGGUGUAGCAGUGAAAUGCGUAGAUAUCGAGAGGAACACCAGUGGCGAAGGCGAGUCUCUGGACGACCCCUGACACUGAGGCACGAAAGCUAGGGGAGCAAACAGG
This 253-nucleotide ribosomal RNA is filed under the name uncultured bacterium. Its description in RNAcentral is "partial 16S ribosomal RNA". It matches the Rfam family "Bacterial small subunit ribosomal RNA", at positions 524 to 776 of the family's 1533-position model. The record is from RNAcentral.